Molecule: long non-coding RNA, 211 nt
Filed under: Capsicum annuum
Lineage: Eukaryota; Viridiplantae; Streptophyta; Magnoliopsida; Solanales; Solanaceae
Description: long non-coding RNA (CANN_LNC021241)
Source: RNAcentral
AGAUCAUCAUAAAGAAAUCAAGAUUAAGCAUCAUCAUUCAGUUGAUAAGUCAAUAUUUGGAGGUGGAGUGAUUCUUGGGGGAUUAGCAACAACAUUCUUUGUGGCAAUAUUUUGUUAUAUUAGAGCAACUAGAAGGAAGAAUAAUGUGGAGCCUAGUUCUCCCAGUGCCCCAUCAACAGUAUGAUUCUAGUGGAUAUUAGAAAAUUUUCAA